UAGAUUUAAUCAGGAUAACCUAAC
RNAcentral lists this non-coding RNA (24 nucleotides) under Arabidopsis thaliana (thale cress). Lineage: Eukaryota; Viridiplantae; Streptophyta; Magnoliopsida; Brassicales; Brassicaceae. The record is from RNAcentral.